Molecule: ribosomal RNA, 497 nt
Filed under: uncultured bacterium
Lineage: Bacteria
Description: partial 16S ribosomal RNA
Rfam family: Bacterial small subunit ribosomal RNA
Source: RNAcentral
GAUGAACGCUGGCGGCGUGCCUAAUACAUGCAAGUCGAGCGAACAGACGAGGAGCUUGCUUCUCUGAUGUUAGCGGCGGACGGGUGAGUAACACGUGGAUAACCUACCUAUAAGACUGGGAUAACUUCGGGAAACCGUAGCUAAUACCGGAUAAUAUUUUGAACCGCAUGGUUCAAUAGUGAAAGACGGUCUUGCUGUCACUUAUAGAUGGAUCCGCGCCGCAUUAGCUAGUUGGUAAGGUAACGGCUUACCAAGGCGACGAUGCGUAGCCGACCUGAGAGGGUGAUCGGCCACACUGGAACUGAGACACGGUCCAGACUCCUACGGGAGGCAGCAGUAGGGAAUCUUCCGCAAUGGGCGAAAGCCUGACGGAGCAACGCCGCGUGAGUGAUGAAGGUCUUCGGAUCGUAAAACUCUGUUAUUAGGGAAGAACAAAUGUGUAAGUAACUGUGCACGUCUUGACGGUACCUAAUCAGAAAGCCACGGCUAACUACGUG